AUGGUGAGCUCCUUAGAGGGAAGUAUAGUACAUAUUUCCUCCAUGUCUCCAGUACCCAACACAGUGCCUGACGUUGAGAGGGCUCUUAAUAAGUGUUUGUGAAAGACUGGUAGAGCAAUGCCCUAUGAAACAAGAAGCUGGAUAACACUGCUUAGGACUCAGAGGAGAGAGGAGUGUGGUCUACACUGCACAUCUCUGCCAAGCCUGGCACGGGAUUUGAAGUUCCACACCACUGAGCCAAACACAUCCAGACCCUCUUCCAACCCGGGGAUCUGGUGGUAAGCAAAAUACUAUUCCAGCAAGUGAUGCCCCCAGUCUCCUAAGGAUAUAAGCAAAAGGAUAAAGCCUCGCCAUGAGCACAGCUGUGUGCUGAGUCCCAGGAGCCCUUCCAGAGAACCUUCAAACAUGAGAAACAGGAAGUUGUGUUUGGCUGCGGACAAACUCUCUCAGUGCCCCUGGGACUUACAAGAUGUUUGGAAUGAGGAACGCUCUCCCAAUGCGAGCUCAGCGGAGGCCCCCAGAAAAACGUGGGGAGGAGAGUUUUCCCCAUAAGACAGACUGUCCUUCAGCCCCGGCCACCAAAGAGGAGUAACCCGGGCCUGCUGUUCUCUGGGACUGAAUGCGGCUGCAUCCUUCCCUUCCUCUGCUUCCUGUCCCGGUACUUACUGACGGUGCACAUGCGGGGCUUGGGGAAGCUGAGUGUCUAACCGCGGUGCAGCUACGGAUGGGAAAUUCUGGGCAGGGACGAGCCUGUCUUCACCUGAGGAAUUCCCUCCCACAUCACACAGGGCAGAGUGGGAGUGGAGGAGGGCAGAGGACACGUCUCAGGGCCAGUAACCUAGGCUUAUAGAAGACGUCAUCACCGUCCUCAUGAUGUUCACCCCGUCUCCUGUUUUUUGGGGCCAUGUGUUCCGAAAUGUAGCUUCAACUCAUCAUAGGGGCAAAAAGAAGUGAUGAGUCUGUGGCAGCAGAAAUCUGGGAAUCCAAGGGUCGUGCUAC
RNAcentral lists this long non-coding RNA (999 nucleotides) under Homo sapiens (human). RNAcentral describes it as "non-protein coding lnc-ADAMTS15-1:23". The record is from RNAcentral. Lineage: Eukaryota; Metazoa; Chordata; Mammalia; Primates; Hominidae.